UCCUUCGCGAUGAAACGCUUCAGAUUUUGUACCCACUGUCUUGACCGCCAUGUGUUGGAGUUCUUUCAGAACUUUCGACAAACAGAAAGAGUGAAUUGGCUGAAGAUGAAAACACUCGAAUGAAGCUGUGUGUGGAAAAGUGAGAAUCAAGGUGGUGUUGCGGUAAUUGCAUCUAGAGAGAGGGAGAGGGAAGCCGAGUCUAUUGUCGGGAGUGAAGUGAGAGAAGGAAUCGGUUAGUGUGAGAGGUUGCACAGAUGUUUUU
This 262-nucleotide long non-coding RNA is filed under the name Actinidia chinensis (golden kiwifruit). RNAcentral describes it as "long non-coding RNA (ACHI_LNC005024)". The record is from RNAcentral. Lineage: Eukaryota; Viridiplantae; Streptophyta; Magnoliopsida; Ericales; Actinidiaceae.